GGGGCAAUGUGGUCGUAAUAUUGGCCACGCCCACGGUGCUAACAGCCAGUAGGCUCACGGAUCAGCCUUUCCCCAUGCAAAUCUCCUGGUUUUUUAUUUGAAUGAGGAAAAUUGGCCACGCCUCCUGCCUUGGAAAGGAGAAGGAAGUCUGAGGUGGUGGCGCUGCGCCUUUUAGUUGCAGUCUGAAGUGUGUUUUGAGUGGAGCUUCGCUCUACCAGUGAGUAGCACUUUGUGAGCGCCCUCUAUGAGUCUCAGGAAAGAAGGAAGGAAAUAGGAAUUAAGCAAAUACACUGUGCCCACUGGAAAGAAGACCUGUCUUGGACUGGAACAUCAGUCAUUGAAUUAAUGACCCAACCCAUUCCUCAUCAUGGGCCUCAUCAUAACUAAUUACAUCUGCAACUAUUUCCAAAGAAGGUCACAU
Molecule: long non-coding RNA, 421 nt
Organism: Suricata suricatta (meerkat)
Lineage: Eukaryota; Metazoa; Chordata; Mammalia; Carnivora; Herpestidae
Exons: 3
Source: RefSeq, a predicted model, not a curated record